RNAcentral lists this ribosomal RNA (393 nucleotides) under uncultured bacterium. RNAcentral's name for it is "partial 16S ribosomal RNA". It matches the Rfam family "Bacterial small subunit ribosomal RNA", at positions 523 to 918 of the family's 1533-position model. The record is from RNAcentral.
AUACGGAGGAUGCGAGCGUUAUCCGGAUUUAUUGGGUUUAAAGGGUGCGUAGGCUGUGCGUUAAGUCAGGGGUGAAAUGCCGUCGCUCAACGACGGAGCUGCCCUUGAUACUGGCGUGCUGGAGUACGGAUGCCGUUGGAGGAAUGAGUGGUGUAGCGGUGAAAUGCUUAGAUAUCACUCAGAACACCGAUUGCGAAGGCAUCUGACGAAUCCGUCACGGACGCUGAGGCACGAACGCGUGGGAAUAGAACAGGAUUAGAUACCCUGGUAUUCCACGCCGUAAACGAUGAUGACUAGCCGUCGGCGAUAGACAGCCGGUGGCCAAGCGAAAGCGAUAAGUCAUCCACCUGGGGAGUACGUCGGCAACGAUGAAACUCAAAUGAAUUGGCGGGG